UCCCCUCACACAUUUACAUUACAUACAAGGUGUUUGGGUCCACUAGACCCAGGUCUAAUAAAAGUCUUGAAAGUGUAGGUCCAGUGUUCCCACACUCUAUCCUCCUCCUUUCUGGUGCUGCUGUUUUCUUCCCCUCCCCCUCCCGCUCCAGCACAAAGUUGCAACAUUGUUGCAAAUUCAACUAUCAACACUGUCUGCUCUUACAUUCCCGCACAUUUUACCCUCUCUCUUGUGGGAACCAAGCUUUAUUUUCUC
Molecule: non-coding RNA, 255 nt
Organism: Danio rerio (zebrafish)
Lineage: Eukaryota; Metazoa; Chordata; Actinopteri; Cypriniformes; Danionidae
Source: Ensembl